AGUUAUUACAUUUUUCAGUAUCUUAUUUACCAUUUGGAAACCAAUGGUUGUUGUCUCAGUAAAUGUGAAAAUGCAGCAAUUAUAUGAACUUAUACUAUAAUAAUCUAGAAAUAAUGUAAAAUAUUUUACUCAAUUGUGCAUUUUCACUCAGAUAUCUCUUUUUUUCUCCUGGACGUUAAGCAACCUAAAGCCUUUUUUAGCUAUUCUCAAAGUGUAACCUACUUAAAGUGUAUGAUAAAAUUUUGUAAAGAGAACUAAUUCCAUUAAAAGGGAUGAACAACACAAAAUCUGAAUUGUCUAAAUGAAUAUUGUUUUGAAUUUUUAAACAGUAUAUAAAUGUAAAUGUACUCAGGAAAUUAUGCACAGUAUUUUGUCAAC
RNAcentral lists this long non-coding RNA (378 nucleotides) under Mytilus galloprovincialis (Mediterranean mussel). Lineage: Eukaryota; Metazoa; Mollusca; Bivalvia; Mytilida; Mytilidae. The record is from RNAcentral.